Thalassophryne amazonica is the source of this 98-nucleotide long non-coding RNA. RefSeq lists it as uncharacterized. The record is from RefSeq and is a predicted model, not a curated record. NCBI's taxonomy places the organism in Eukaryota, Metazoa, Chordata, Actinopteri, Batrachoidiformes, Batrachoididae. The transcript has 3 exons.
ACACACGUGCCUGAGUGUUGAAGACCCCAGUAGCUGGAAAAAGGCCAAGAAGAUGCCCAUGUUUCAUCUUGCUGUGGCAGAUUGACGGUUGCUGUGGA